AGCCAGACUCCUACGGGAGGCAGCAGUGGGGAAUAUUGCACAAUGGGGGAAACCCUGAUGCAGCGACGCCGCGUGAGUGAAGAAGUAAUUCGUUAUGUAAAGCUCUAUCAGCAGGGAAGAAAAAAGACGGUACCUGACUAAGAAGCCCCGGCUAACUACGUGCCAGCAGCCGCGGUAAUACGUAGGGGGCAAGCGUUAUCCGGAUUCACUGGGUGUAAAGGGAGCGUAGACGGCCAUGCAAGCCUGGAGUGAAAGCCCGGGGCCCAACCCCGGGACUGCUCUGGGAACUGUGCGGCUGGAGUGCGGGAGGGGCAGGCGGAAUUCCUGGUGUAGCGGUGAAAUGCGUAGAUAUCAGGAGGAACACCGGCGGCGAAGGCGGCCUGCUGGACCGCGACUGACGUUGAGGCUCGAAAGCGUGGGGAGCAAACAGGAUUAGAUACCCCGGUAAC
This 449-nucleotide ribosomal RNA is filed under the name uncultured bacterium. RNAcentral's name for it is "bacterial SSU rRNA". It matches the Rfam family "Bacterial small subunit ribosomal RNA", at positions 329 to 794 of the family's 1533-position model. The record is from RNAcentral.